AGCGGUACAUUUCUAGCUUGCUAGAAGAUGACGAGCGGCGGACGGGUGAGUAAUACUUGGGGAUCUGCCUGAUGGAGGGGGACAACCACUGGAAACGGUGGCUAAUACCGCAUGACGCCUACGGGCCAAAGUGUGGGACCUUCGGGCCACACGCCAUCAGAUGAACCCAAGCGAGAUUAGCUAGUUGGUGAGGUAACGGCUCACCAAGGCGACGAUCUCUAGCUGGUCUGAGAGGAUGAUCAGCCACACUGGGACUGAGACACGGCCCAGACUCCUACGGGAGGCAGCAGUGGGGAAUAUUGGACAAUGGGCGCAAGCCUGAUCCAGCCAUGCCGCGUGUGUGAAGAAGGCCUUAGGGUUGUAAAGCACUUUCAGUGGUGAGGAAGGCGUUGUAGUUAAUAGCUGCAACGAUUGACGUUAGCCACAGAAGAAGCACCGGCUAACUCCGUGCCAGCAGCCGCGGUAAUACGGAGGGUGCGAGCGUUAAUCGGAAUUACUGGGCGUAAAGCGCACGUAGGCGGCUUGUUAAGCAAGAUGUGAAAGCCCAGGGCUCAACCUUGGAAUUGCAUUUUGAACUGGCAAGCUAGAGUUUUGAAGAGGGUGGUAGAAUUUCCAGUGUAGCGGUGAAAUGCGUAGAUAUUGGAAGGAAUACCAGUGGCGAAGGCGGCCACCUGGUCAAAAACUGACGCUGAGGAGCGAAAGCGUGGGGAGCAAACAGGAUUAGAUACCCUGGUAGUCCACGCCGUAAACGAUGUCGACUAGUUGUUCGUGUCUUUAAGAUGUGAGUAACGCAGCUAACGCACUAAGUCGACCGCCUGGGGAGUACGGCCGCAAGGUUAAAACUCAAAUGAAUUGACGGGGGCCCGCACAAGCGGUGGAGCAUGUGGUUUAAUUCGAUGCAACGCGAAGAACCUUACCAUCCCUUGACAUCCAGAGAAUUAUCUAGAGAUAGAUGAGUGCCUUCGGGAACUCUGAGACAGGUGCUGCAUGGCUGUCGUCAGCUCGUGUUGUGAGAUGUUGGGUUAAGUCCCGCAACGAGCGCAACCCUUAUCCUUAGUUGCCAGCACAUAAUGGUGGGAACUCUAGGGAGACUGCCGGUGAUAAACCGGAGGAAGGUGGGGACGACGUCAAGUCAUCAUGGCCCUUACGGGAUGGGCUACACACGUGCUACAAUGGCGCACACAAAGGGCAGCAAGCUAGCGAUAGCAAGCGAAUCUCAAAAAGUGCGUCGUAGUCCGGAUUGGAGUCUGCAACUCGACUCCAUGAAGUCGGAAUCGCUAGUAAUCGUGGAUCAGAAUGCCACGGUGAAUACGUUCCCGGGCCUUGUACACACCGCCCGUCACACCAUGGGAGUGGGCUGCACCAGAAGU
Molecule: ribosomal RNA, 1370 nt
Filed under: Idiomarina sp. H-36
Lineage: Bacteria; Pseudomonadati; Pseudomonadota; Gammaproteobacteria; Alteromonadales; Idiomarinaceae
Description: bacterial SSU rRNA
Rfam family: Bacterial small subunit ribosomal RNA
Source: RNAcentral